GCCUGGGUGGCUCAGUCGGUUGAGCGUCCGACUUCAGCUCAAGUCAUGGCCUUGCAGUUCAUGGGUUCAAGCCCCGUGCCGGGCU
Molecule: transfer RNA, 85 nt
Filed under: Felis catus (domestic cat)
Lineage: Eukaryota; Metazoa; Chordata; Mammalia; Carnivora; Felidae
Also listed under: 1 other name
Rfam family: tRNA
About the family: Transfer RNA (tRNA) molecules are approximately 80 nucleotides in length. Their secondary structure includes four short double-helical elements and three loops (D, anti-codon, and T loops).
Source: Rfam by way of RNAcentral